RNAcentral lists this ribosomal RNA (568 nucleotides) under uncultured bacterium. Its description in RNAcentral is "bacterial SSU rRNA". It matches the Rfam family "Bacterial small subunit ribosomal RNA", at positions 338 to 916 of the family's 1533-position model. The record is from RNAcentral.
CCUACGGGAGGCAGCAGUGGGGAAUAUUGGGCAAUGGAGGAAACUCUGACCCAGCGACGCCGCGUGCGGGAUGAAGGCCUUCGGGUUGUAAACCGCUUUCAGUAGGGAAGAAGCGAAAGUGACGGUACCUACAAAAGAAGCACCGGCUAACUAUGUGCCAGCAGCCGCGGUAAUACAUAGGGUGCAAGCGUUGUCCGGAAUUAUUGGGCGUAAAGAGCUCGUAGGUCGUUUGUUACGUCGGAUGUGAAAACCUGAGGCUCAACCUCAGGCCUGCAUUCGAUACGGGCAAACUAGAGUUUGGUAGGGAAGACUGGAAUUCCUGGUGUAGCGGUGGAAUGCGCAGAUAUCAGGAGGAACACCAAUGGCGAAGGCAGGUCUCUGGGCCAAUACUGACACUGAGGAGCGAAAGUCUGGGGAGCGAACAGGAUUAGAUACCCUGGUAGUCCAGACCGUAAACGGUGGGCACUAGUUGUGGGAACCUUCCACGGUUUCUGCGACGCAGCUAACGCAUUAAGUGCCCCGCCUGGGGAGUACGAUCGCAAGAUUAAAACUCAAAUGAAAUUGACGG